This 496-nucleotide ribosomal RNA is filed under the name uncultured bacterium. RNAcentral describes it as "partial 16S ribosomal RNA". It matches the Rfam family "Bacterial small subunit ribosomal RNA", at positions 28 to 506 of the family's 1533-position model. The record is from RNAcentral.
GAUGAACGCUGGCGGCGUGCCUAAUACAUGCAAGUCGAGCGAACGGACGAGAAGCUUGCUUCUCUGAUGUUAGCGGCGGACGGGUGAGUAACACGUGGAUAACCUACCUAUAAGACUGGGAUAACUUCGGGAAACCGGAGCUAAUACCGGAUGAUAUUUUGAACCGCAUGGUUCAAAAGUGAAAGACGGUCUUGCUGUCACUUAUAGAUGGAUCCGCGCUGCAUUAGCUAGUUGGUAAGGUAACGGCUUACCAAGGCAACGAUGCAUAGCCGACCUGAGAGGGUGAUCGGCCACACUGGAACUGAGACACGGUCCAGACCCCUACGGGAGGCAGCAGUAGGGAAUCUUCCGCAAUGGGCGAAAGCCUGACGGAGCAACGCCGCGUGAGUGAUGAAGGUCUUCGGAUCGUAAAACUCUGUUAUUAGGGAAGAACAUAUGUGUAAGUAACUGUGCACAUCUUGACGGUACCUAAUCAGAAAGCCACGGCUAACUACGU